ANNUCAACCUGCCCUAGAGACACGAAUAACCCCGGGAAACUGGGAUUAAUGCGUGAUAGGUCAUCUCAUCUGGAAGGAGAGAUGGCUUAAAGGGGUGCGAGAGCUUCUUUCUCGUAUCCGCUUUAGGGUGGGACUGCGGCCGAUCAGGCUGUUGGUGGGGUAAUGGCCCACCAAACCUGUAACCGGUACGGGCCUUGAGAGAGGGGGCCCGGAGAUGGACACUGAGAGAAGGGUCCAGGUCCUACGGGGCGCAGCAGGCGCGAAACCUUCGCAAUGCGCGAAAGCGUGACGAGGUUAAUCCGAGUGGUCCCCGCUGAGGGGAUCUUUUGUUGGCUCUAAAACGGCCAGUGAAUAAGGGGAGGGCAAGUCUGGUGUCAGCCGCCGCGGUAAUACCAGCUCCUCGAGUGGUCGGGGCGAUUAUUGGGCCUAAAGCAUCCGUAGCCUGUUCUGUAGGUCCGCUGUUAAAUCCAACGGCUUAACCGUUGGCCCGCAGCGGAUACCGCAGGACUAGGAGGCGGGAGAGGUGGACGGUACUCUACGUGUAGGGGUAAAAUCCUUUGAUCCGUAGAAGACCACCAGUGGCGAAGGCGGUCCACCAGAACGCGCUCGACGGUGAGGGAUGAAAGCUGGGGGAGCGAACCGGAUUAGAUACCCGGGUAGUCCCAGCUGUAAACGAUGCAAGCUAGAUGAUCCGGUCGCAAAUCGCGAUCGGAGUGUCGCAGGGAAGCCGUUAAGCUUGCCGCCUGGGGAGUACGGUCGCAAGACUGAAACU
Molecule: ribosomal RNA, 772 nt
Filed under: uncultured archaeon
Lineage: Archaea
Description: bacterial SSU rRNA
Rfam family: Archaeal small subunit ribosomal RNA
Source: RNAcentral